ACUCCUACGGGAGGCAGCAGUGGGGAAUAUUGCACAAUGGGCGCAAGCCUGAUGCAGCCAUGCCGCGUGUGUGAAGAAGGCCUUCGGGUUGUAAAGCACUUUCAGCAGUGAGGAAGGCGGAGUCGUUAAUAGCGGCCUCGUUUGACGUUAGCUGCAGAAGAAGCACCGGCUAACUCCGUGCCAGCAGCCGCGGUAAUACGGAGGGUGCGAGCGUUAAUCGGAAUUACUGGGCGUAAAGCGCAUGCAGGUGGUUUGUUAAGUCAGAUGUGAAAGCCCGGGGCUCAACCUCGGAAUAGCAUUUGAAACUGGCAGACUAGAGUACUGUAGAGGGGGGUAGAAUUUCAGGUGUAGCGGUGAAAUGCGUAGAGAUCUGAAGGAAUACCGGUGGCGAAGGCGGCCCCCUGGACAGAUACUGACACUCAGAUGCGAAAGCGUGGGGAGCAAACAGGAUUAGAUACCCGU
RNAcentral lists this ribosomal RNA (462 nucleotides) under uncultured bacterium. RNAcentral describes it as "bacterial SSU rRNA". It matches the Rfam family "Bacterial small subunit ribosomal RNA", at positions 335 to 789 of the family's 1533-position model. The record is from RNAcentral.